AACGCUAGCUACAGGCUUAACACAUGCAAGUCGCGGGGCAGCAUGAGCUUAGCUUGCUAAGUUUGAUGGCGACCGGCGCACGGGUGAGUAACGCGUAUCCAACCUUCCCUUGUCCACGGGAUAGCCCGUCGAAAGGCGGAUUAAUACCGUAUGAGGUCACAUGCGGGCAUCUAAGUGUGACGAAAGGUUUUGCGGACAAGGAUGGGGAUGCGUCCGAUUAGGUAGUCGGCGGGGUAACGGCCCACCGAGCCAUCGAUCGGUAGGGGUUCUGAGAGGAAGGUCCCCCACAUUGGAACUGAGACACGGUCCAAACUCCUACGGGAGGCAGCAGUGAGGAAUAUUGGUCAAUGGGCGAGAGCCUAAACCAGCCAAGUAGCGUGCAGGAAGACGGCCCUAUGGGUUGUAAACUGCUUUUAUGCGGGGAUAAAGUGUGGGACGUGUCCCUUAUUGCAGGUACCGCAUGAAUAAGGACCGGCUAAUUCCGUGCCAGCAGCCGCGGUAAUACGGAAGGUCCGGGCGUUAUCCGGAUUUAUUGGGUUUAAAGGGAGCGUAGGCCGUCUUUUAAGCGUGUUGUGAAAUGCCGCGGCUCAACCGUGGCACUGCAGCGCGAACUGGAGGACUUGAGUGCGCAGGAGGUAGGCGGAAUUCGUGGUGUAGCGGUGAAAUGCUUAGAUAUCACGAAGAACUCCGAUUG
Molecule: ribosomal RNA, 694 nt
Filed under: uncultured bacterium
Lineage: Bacteria
Description: bacterial SSU rRNA
Rfam family: Bacterial small subunit ribosomal RNA
Source: RNAcentral